UACGUAGGGGGCAAGCGUUGUCCGGAAUCAUUGGGCGUAAAGCGCGCGUAGGCGGCCCGGUAAGUCCGCUGUAAAAGUCCAGGGCUCAACCCUGGAAAGCCGGUGGAUACUGUCGGGCUAGAGUCCGGAAGAGGAGAGUGGAAUUCCUGGUGUAGCGGUGAAAUGCGCAGAUAUCAGGAAGAACACCCGUGGCGAAGGCGGCUCUCUGGGACGGUACUGACGCUGAGACGCGAAAGCGUGGGGAGCGAACAGG
This 253-nucleotide ribosomal RNA is filed under the name uncultured bacterium. RNAcentral's name for it is "partial 16S ribosomal RNA". It matches the Rfam family "Bacterial small subunit ribosomal RNA", at positions 524 to 776 of the family's 1533-position model. The record is from RNAcentral.